GAUCAUGGCUCAGGAUGAACGCUAGCUACAGGCUUAACACAUGCAAGUCGAGGGGCAGCAUGGUCUUAGCUUGCUAAGGCCGAUGGCGACCGGCGCACGGGUGAGUAACACGUAUCCAACCUGUCGUCUACUCUUGGACAGCCUUCUGAAAAGGAAGAUUAAUACAAGAUGGCAUCAUGGGUCCGCAUGUUCACAUGAUUAAAGGUAUUCCGGUAGACGAUGGGG
This 225-nucleotide ribosomal RNA is filed under the name uncultured bacterium. Its description in RNAcentral is "partial 16S ribosomal RNA". It matches the Rfam family "Bacterial small subunit ribosomal RNA", at positions 15 to 230 of the family's 1533-position model. The record is from RNAcentral.